UACAGGGGGUGCAAGCGUUGUCCGGAAUGAUUGGGCGUAAAGCAUCUGUAGGUGGUUUCUAAAGUCUACUGUUAAAUCCCAGAGCUCAACUUUGGCAAGGCAGUGGAGCACUUAGAGACUUGAGUACGGUAGGGGUAAAGGGAAUUCUUAGUGGAGCGGUGAAAUGCACAGAGAUUAGGAAGAACACCAGUGGCGAAAGCGCUUUACUGGGCCGUAACUGACACUGAGAGAUGAAAGUUGGGGGAGCGAAAAGG
RNAcentral lists this ribosomal RNA (254 nucleotides) under uncultured Loriellopsis sp. Its description in RNAcentral is "partial 16S ribosomal RNA". It matches the Rfam family "Bacterial small subunit ribosomal RNA", at positions 524 to 776 of the family's 1533-position model. The record is from RNAcentral. Lineage: Bacteria; Bacillati; Cyanobacteriota; Cyanophyceae; Nostocales; Symphyonemataceae.